GAUGAACGCUGGCGGCGUGCCUAAUACAUGCAAGUCGAGCGAACAGAUGAGGAGCUUGCUCCUCUGACGUUAGCGGCGGACGGCUGAGUAACACGUGGAUAACCUACCUAUAAGACUGGGAUAACUUCGGGAAACCGGAGCUAAUACCGGAUAAUAUAUUGAACCGCAUGGUUCAAUAGUGAAAGACGGUUUUGCUGUCACUUAUAGAUGGAUCCGCGCCGCAUUAGCUAGUUGGUAAGGUAACGGCUUACCAAGGCAACGAUGCGUAGCCGACCUGAGAGGGUGAUCGGCCACACUGGAACGGAGACACGGUCCAGACUCCUACGGGAGGCAGCAGUAGGGAAUCUUACGCAAUGGGCGAAAGCCUGACGGAGCAACGCCGCGUGAGUGAUGAAGGUCUUCGGAUCGUAAAACUCUGUUAUUAGGGAAGAACAAAUGUGUAAGUAACUAUGCACGUCUUGACGGUACCUAAUCAGAAAGCCACGGCUAACUACGUG
This 497-nucleotide ribosomal RNA is filed under the name uncultured bacterium. RNAcentral describes it as "partial 16S ribosomal RNA". It matches the Rfam family "Bacterial small subunit ribosomal RNA", at positions 28 to 507 of the family's 1533-position model. The record is from RNAcentral.